GUGCUCACUUCAGCAGCACAUAUACUAAAGUUGGAACGGUACAGUGAAGAUUAGCAAGGCCCCUGUGCAAGAACGAAACAAAUCAUCCCACAAUAAUGGCAUAUUUUA
Nycticebus coucang (slow loris) is the source of this 108-nucleotide small nuclear RNA. The record is from RefSeq and is a predicted model, not a curated record. NCBI's taxonomy places the organism in Eukaryota, Metazoa, Chordata, Mammalia, Primates, Lorisidae.